This is a long non-coding RNA of Setaria italica (foxtail millet), 560 nucleotides long. RefSeq lists it as uncharacterized. NCBI's taxonomy places the organism in Eukaryota, Viridiplantae, Streptophyta, Magnoliopsida, Poales, Poaceae. The transcript has 2 exons. The record is from RefSeq and is a predicted model, not a curated record.
GGGGAAAGAGGAGAGGGGAGGGGGGAAGGAGUCGCCGGCCAUGGCGCCGGCCGGCGGCGGCGGCGUCGGCGGUGACGGCGGCGGCGGCGGCGGCGCCAGUCACAGGGUAAUGCUUUAGAGGAGCAUACGAAUGGCAUUCACAGUUGAAGCUAGCAGAUCAGCCACCGAAGCGGUGAAGCUAGACUCCACAUGAGUUGUCCCUGUGGUUGAUUCUGGUCACGCUGCUUUGCUAACGCUGUUGUGGAUUACGGGCACAUUUGGUUCCAUAUGGCACUUGAAUUCAAGCAUGCGAAACUCAAUCCAGUUCUCAUCUUCUUCACCUCUAUAAGUUCAGUCACGCUCUUUAAUUAUUCUUAUUUCAAAACAAGGAAUGAUUUCAGCAUGUUCGAAACCUCAACCAUUACGAGAAAAACCAGCUCAUGUUUGUUUCCCCCAAUAUUCAAUUGCUGUGCAAUUGGGUUGAGCAGAGGAAAAUGUAUAACCUUACAUAGCAUGAAUUCACUUCCAAAGAAGGUGGCUAUUUCUUUUAUAUAGAAGAGAGUCACGAAGCAUGCAAGAUU